RNAcentral lists this ribosomal RNA (520 nucleotides) under uncultured Glomus. Its description in RNAcentral is "SSU rRNA". It matches the Rfam family "Eukaryotic small subunit ribosomal RNA", at positions 569 to 1091 of the family's 1831-position model. The record is from RNAcentral. Lineage: Eukaryota; Fungi; Glomeromycota; Glomeromycetes; Glomerales; Glomeraceae.
AGCAGCCGCGGUAAUUCCAGCUCCAAUAGCGUAUAUUAAAGUUGUUGCAGUUAAAAGCUCGUAGUUGAAUUUCGGGAUCAAGUCGUCGGUCGUGCUCAGGUACGUACUGGCGUCAUUGAUUUCUCCCUUCUGACGAACCAUGAUGUCAUUAAUUUGGUGUCAUGGGAAAUCAGGACUGUUACUUUGAAAAAAUUAGAGUGUUUAAAGCAGGCUCACACUUGAAUACAUUAGCAUGGAAUAAUGAAAUAGGACGUUCGAUCCUAUUUUGUUGGUUUUUAGGAUCAACGUAAUGACUAAUAGGGAUAGUUGGGGGCAUUAGUAUUCAAUUGUCAGAGGUGAAAUUCUUGGAUUUAUUGAAGACUAACUACUGCGAAAGCAUUUUGCCAAGGAUGUUUUCAUUAAUCAAGAACGAAAGUUAGGGGAUCGAAGACGAUCAGAUACCGUCGUAGUCUUAACCAUAAACUAUGCCGACUAGGGAUCGGAUGAUGUUAAUUUUUUAAUGACUCAUUCGGCGCCUUAC